This 408-nucleotide ribosomal RNA is filed under the name uncultured bacterium. RNAcentral's name for it is "partial 16S ribosomal RNA". It matches the Rfam family "Bacterial small subunit ribosomal RNA", at positions 28 to 526 of the family's 1533-position model. The record is from RNAcentral.
GACGAACGCUGGCGGCGUGCUUAACACAUGCAAGUCGAACGAAGUGGCGAACGGGUGAGUAACGCGUAAUCAACCUGCCCUUCAGAGGGGGACAACAGUUGGGAACGACUGCUAAUACCGCAUACUGAAGGAGGGGAUUGCGUCUGAUUAGCUAGUUGGCGGGGUAACGGCCCACCAAGGCGAUGAUCAGUAGCCGGUGUGGGAAGAAGAACGGCAACAUUGGGACUGAGACACGGCCCAGACUCCGACGGGAGGCAGCAGUGGGGAAUCGGCCGCAAUGGACGAAAGUCUGACGGAGCAACGCCGCGUGAGUGAUGACUGCCUUCGGGUUGUAAAGCUCUGUUAAUCGGGACGCGGUACCGGAAUAGAAAGCCACGGCUAACUACGUGCCAGCAGCCGCGGUAAUGC